Molecule: ribosomal RNA, 1453 nt
Filed under: uncultured organism
Description: SSU rRNA
Rfam family: Bacterial small subunit ribosomal RNA
Source: RNAcentral
UAGCUACAGGCUUAACACAUGCAAGUCGAGGGGCAGCAUGGUCUUAGCUUGCUAAGGCCGAUGGCGACCGGCGCACGGGUGAGUAACACGUAUCCAACCUGCCGUCUACUCUUGGACAGCCUUCUGAAAGGAAGAUUAAUACAAGAUGGCAUCAUGAGUCCGCAUGUUCACAUGAUUAAAGGUAUUCCGGUAGACGAUGGGGAUGCGUUCCAUUAGAUAGUAGGCGGGGUAACGGCCCACCUAGUCUUCGAUGGAUAGGGGUUCUGAGAGGAAGGUCCCCCACAUUGGAACUGAGACACGGUCCAAACUCCUACGGGAGGCAGCAGUGAGGAAUAUUGGUCAAUGGGCGAGAGCCUGAACCAGCCAAGUAGCGUGAAGGAUGACUGCCCUAUGGGUUGUAAACUUCUUUUAUAAAGGAAUAAAGUCGGGUAUGCAUACCCGUUUGCAUGUACUUUAUGAAUAAGGAUCGGCUAACUCCGUGCCAGCAGCCGCGGUAAUACGGAGGAUCCGAGCGUUAUCCGGAUUUAUUGGGUUUAAAGGGAGCGUAGAUGGAUGUUUAAGUCAGUUGUGAAAGUUUGCGGCUCAACCGUAAAAUUGCAGUUGAUACUGGAUAUCUUGAGUGCAGUUGAGGCAGGCGGAAUUCGUGGUGUAGCGGUGAAAUGCUUAGAUAUCACGAAGAACUCCGAUUGCGAAGGCAGCCUGCUAAGCUGCAACUGACAUUGAGGCUCGAAAGUGUGGGUAUCAAACAGGAUUAGAUACCCUGGUAGUCCACACGGUAAACGAUGAAUACUCGCUGUUUGCGAUAUACUGCAAGCGGCCAAGCGAAAGCGUUAAGUAUUCCACCUGGGGAGUACGCCGGCAACGGUGAAACUCAAAGGAAUUGACGGGGGCCCGCACAAGCGGAGGAACAUGUGGUUCAAUUCGAUGAUACGCGAGGAACCUUACCCGGGCUUAAAUUGCAGAUGAAUUACGGUGAAAGCCGUAAGCCGCAAGGCAUCUGUGAAGGUGCUGCAUGGUUGUCGUCAGCUCGUGCCGUGAGGUGUCGGCUUAAGUGCCAUAACGAGCGCAACCCUUGUUGUCAGUUACUAACAGGUUCCGCUGAGGACUCUGACAAGACUGCCAUCGUAAGAUGUGAGGAAGGUGGGGAUGACGUCAAAUCAGCACGGCCCUUACGUCCGGGGCUACACACGUGUUACAAUGGGGGGUACAGAGGGCCGCUACCACGCGAGUGGAUGCCAAUCCCCAAAACCUCUCUCAGUUCGGACUGGAGUCUGCAACCCGACUCCACGAAGCUGGAUUCGCUAGUAAUCGCGCAUCAGCCACGGCGCGGUGAAUACGUUCCCGGGCCUUGUACACACCGCCCGUCAAGCCAUGGGAGCCGGGGGUACCUGAAGUGCGUAACCGCGAGGAGCGCCCUAGGGUAAAACUGGUGACUGGGGCUAAGUCAUAACAA